RNAcentral lists this ribosomal RNA (253 nucleotides) under uncultured bacterium. RNAcentral's name for it is "partial 16S ribosomal RNA". It matches the Rfam family "Bacterial small subunit ribosomal RNA", at positions 524 to 776 of the family's 1533-position model. The record is from RNAcentral.
UACAGAGGGGGCAAGCGUUGUUCGGAAUUACUGGGCGUAAAGGGCGCGUAGGCGGCCUGCUAAGUCGAACGUGAAAUCCCCGGGCUCAACCCGGGAACUGCGUCCGAUACUGGCAGGCUUGAAUCCGGGAGAGGGAUGUGGAAUUCCAGGUGUAGCGGUGAAAUGCGUAGAUAUCUGGAGGAACACCGGUGGCGAAGGCGGCAUCCUGGACCGGCACUGACGCUGAGACACGAAAGCGUGGGUAGCAAACAGG